RNAcentral lists this transfer RNA (64 nucleotides) under Rhopalopsole bulbifera. Its description in RNAcentral is "tRNA-Ile". The record is from RNAcentral. Lineage: Eukaryota; Metazoa; Arthropoda; Insecta; Plecoptera; Leuctridae.
AAUGAAGUGCCUGAUAAAAGGGCUACUUUGAUAGAGUAGAUCAUGUAAUUUCUUACCUUCAUUA